AUCAUGGCUCAGAAUCAACGCUGGCGGCGUGCCUCAGACAUGCAAGUCGAACGAUUAAACUUUCCUUCGGGAAAGAUAUAAAGUGGCGCACGGGUGAGUAACACGUAAGUAAUCUACCUUCGAGUGGGGAAUAACGUCCGGAAACGGACGCUAAUACCGCAUAAUGCAGCGGCAUCGCAAGAUGACAGUUGUUAAAGGAUUUAUUCGCUUGAAGAGGAGCUUGCGGCAGAUUAGCUUGUUGGUAAGGUAACGGCUUACCAAGGCUACGAUCUGUAACCGGUCUAAGAGGACGGUCGGUCACACUGACACUGAAUAACGGGUCAGACUCCUACGGGAGGCAGCAGUCGGGAAUUUUGGGCAAUGGGCGAAAGCCUGACCCAGCAACGCCGCGUGAAGGAUGAAGUAUUUCGGUAUGUAAACUUCGAAAGAAUGGGAAGAAUCAAUGACGGUACCAUUUAUAAGGUCCGGCUAACUACGUGCCAGCAGCCGCGGUAAUACGUAGGGACCAAGCGUUGUUCGGAUUUACUGGGCGUAAAGGGCGCGUAGGCGGCCCUACAAGUCACUUGUGAAAUCUCCGGGCUUAACUCGGAACGGCCGAGUGAAACUGUGGAGCUAGAGUGUGGAAGGGGCAAUCGGAAUUCUUGGUGUAGCGGUGAAAUGCGUAGAUAUCAAGAGGAACACCUGAGGUGAAGACGGGUUGCUGGGCCAACACUGACGCUGAGGCGCGAAAGCCAG
This 735-nucleotide ribosomal RNA is filed under the name uncultured bacterium. RNAcentral's name for it is "bacterial SSU rRNA". It matches the Rfam family "Bacterial small subunit ribosomal RNA", at positions 16 to 763 of the family's 1533-position model. The record is from RNAcentral.